RNAcentral lists this ribosomal RNA (184 nucleotides) under uncultured bacterium. Its description in RNAcentral is "partial 16S ribosomal RNA". It matches the Rfam family "Bacterial small subunit ribosomal RNA", at positions 346 to 523 of the family's 1533-position model. The record is from RNAcentral.
UGGCGGCGCGUAAUAUUUGCGACAAUGGGCGAAAGCCUGAUCCAGCCACCCCGCGUGUGUGAAGAAGGCCUGCGGGUUGUAAAGCACUUUCUUUGGGAACGAAAUAUGCCGACCUAGUACGUCGGUAAGCUGACGUUACCCAAAUAAAAAGCACCGGCUAACUCUGUGCCCGCAGCCGCGAUAA